RNAcentral lists this ribosomal RNA (460 nucleotides) under uncultured bacterium. Its description in RNAcentral is "partial 16S ribosomal RNA". It matches the Rfam family "Bacterial small subunit ribosomal RNA", at positions 338 to 795 of the family's 1533-position model. The record is from RNAcentral.
CCUACGGGGAGCAGCAGUGAGGAAUAUUGGUCAAUGGACGAGAGUCUGAACCAGCCAAGUAGCGUGAAGGAUGACUGAUCUCUGGGUUGUAAACUUCUUUUAUAUGGGAAUAAAAUGUUCCACGUGUGGGAUUUUGUAUGUACCAUAUGAAUAAGGAUCGGCUAACUCCGUGCCAGCAGCCGCGGUAAUCCGGAGGAUCCGAGCGUUAUCCGGAUUUAUUGGGUUUAAAGGGAGCGUAGGUGGAUUGUUAAGUCAGUUGUGAAAGUUUGCGGCUCAACCGUAAAAGUGCAGUUGAAACUGGCAGUCUUGAGUACAGUAGAGGUGGGCGGAAUUCGUGGUGUAGCGGUGAAAUGCUUAGAUAUCACGAAGAACUCCGAUUGCGAAGGCAGUUCACUGGACUGCAACUGACACUGAGGCUCGAAAGUGUGGGUAUCAAACAGGAUUAGAUACCCUGGUAGUC